UUUGCCUGAAUGACAACACGACCCUUAACAAAAAAAAGGAUCUACUUCACCUCAUGUUCCUAUGCUCCGUUUGCUAAUGCGGUUCUUCUAUCAUUUUUGCCAUCAAAGAGUAACGAAACUUGUUUAUGUGUUUUAUUAAGCUGCUUAGCUAGAGAGUUAAGGUUGUGAGAUGGAGGUUAGAGACCCACGUGACUUGUUAGAAAGGACAGGGGCCUUUUCCACGUGAGCACAAAUAAUACCAUUUUGCUUCCCCAGAAGAUGUUUCAUUUCACGCCUUAUAGAUUUUUCUAUAAAACUCCAUGGACCCUCUCUAACAAUUAUAAGAAAAUCCUAGUAGCUAGAGGAACAUUUUUUUCCUUUGAGGCAGUGGUGAGUGUGCAAAGUUAGAGGGAUGUGUUCACAAGGUUGCUGACGAAGCUUCUCAUGAUGAAGUUGAUGGAACUUGCACGGCGCUACUGGCGAAGUUUGGAUGGUUGUUGUUGACGCUACGAAGUGUAGAGGUUGAACCUCACCUAUCAUCACAACUUUGCUCAUGCUAAUGCUGUCCCAGAACCUCAAUCUUACUAUCAGGCAGUGAAAUAUGAGGAGUGGCGCCAUGCCAUGGUUGAAGAACUCGACGCACUCGAAGCCAACAAAAUCUGGGAAUUGGUUCCUCUACCAAAGGGUAAACACACCAUAGGGUGCAGAUGGGUCUAUAAUGUCAAGAUGUGUGCAGAUGGCACUCUAGAGCGCUAUAAAGCUCGACUCGUGGCGAAGGAUUUUACACAACAAUCAGACAUUGAUUUUAAGGACACAUUUAGUCCUGUUGCUAAAAUCACUACAUUGUGCAUUCUUCUCACCAUUGCAGCUGUAAAGCAUUGGACCAUGCAUGUUGCAACCUGACAUCAACAACGCCUUUCUAAAUGACCAGUUGAACAAAGAGGUGUACAUGACCUUACCUCUUGGACAUCCAGAAAGGAAAUAGGGUCUAGUAUGCAAGCUUGUGAAAUCUCUUUAUAGCGUUCGACAAGCAUUGAGGCAGUGAUUCACCAAAUUUUGCACAACCCUUACUUAGGAUGGGUUCAAGCAAUGCAAGCAGGAUUACUCGUUGUUUUCAUUGGGUGAGAGAAAUGAUACCACUUUCCUAAUUGUUUAUGUCGACGACAUUAUUGUUGUUGGACCAAGGCAUAAACUAGUGAGAAAAUUUAAAGAAUAGCUGCAAUCAAUUUCUAAAUUGAAGAUUUUGGGUGGUAAAGUUUUUCUUGGGUCUGGAGUUAGCUCGCUCAAAGCAAGGAAUUUCCUUAACACAAAGGAAGUAUACCCUUUUCCUCCUUGAAGAUACUGGUUACCUUGAUUGUAAGCCAGCGUUGAUACCUAUAGAAGCCAAAUUAAAGAUUCGAGAUGCAGAAGUAAGAGACCCAAUUCCAAAUGCUUCAAGCUACCGAAGGCUGAUUAGCAGGUUAAUGUACUUGACCAUAUCUAGAUCCGAUAUCACGUUUGCUAUGGCAAAGCUUGCCCAAUUCAUGUUCGAUCCUCGCAUGCCACAUCUCCACGCAGCCCAUAGUGUCCUUGGUACUUAAAAGGUGCUCCUGGUCAAGGUUUCCUCUCACUACAAGACACACGGCAGAUAGCAUCGCUUUAUUAGAGUCGGUUUUGAAAACAGCCACUAUCUGCAGUUUAGCGGCAAUUUUCGUGGCAGAUUUGAGAGAAGCCGCUAUUUGCUUUCUUUUCAGGGUUCAAUUAGAUGCCCCUCUUUCUCAGAUCUAUCUCAAUUCUCAUUCUGAUUGUCUUCACUCUCACUAGUUACAACACAAUUCUCUUCUCUCUAACUUCCAUCAUCAUCUCUGCACCUCUCCAAAGUUUCUACGUUGUGCUAGCUCCUCUGCUUUUUCUGCUUCUUCUGCUUCCUCCUCUGUUCUGCCAGAUCUGCUAGCUAUCUCAUCCGCGUAGUGUUGUGCAUGGUUCAAAUCUGCGGUAGCGACACGAGCAUCCUGUCACCGUCACCUCCACCACACCUGUUGCAUGUUCUUCUCCUUCUUCCUUUAUUUCUUUAUUUGGAUUGUCGUUUAUUUAUCUACUUUUUUCUGCUAGGUUUUCACGUUUUUACAAGAGGAUAAGUGCCCUUCCCCCAUAGCAAAAGGGAUCUUAUGUCCCAGAUCCGCUCGCUGCUCGUGCCUCCUUCCUUCUGCUUUGCACCUUCACUUCUAGUUUUCUCUUUAUGAUUUUUUUCUAUUUUUUUGCGCAUUCUAAAUCCUGGUUCUGAGUUUGUUCUUGGGUUUUUCUACUAAUUAAAUUGAUUGUUUUGCUUUAUCGAAGAAGAAGAGAAAGCUCAAUAGAGAAUCUUUUUAGUAUAUUCAAUUCAAUAUCUAAAUCAAUUUGUAAAUUGCAGUGUGAGAAUAAUUUUUUCAAAUAUUUUUAUAAAUUUGUCAGAAUCAAGUGAGAAAGUCGAGAGAGAACAUCACACAACAUAGCUGCAAAUUUGGAUUGCAAUUUUGUUUAGGUUUUUUUUUUGUUUUAGUUCUCAAUUUAGUACAGUUUAAAAGUCUUGUGUUGCAUCUACAAUCACACAAGACUAAAGUGAAAUAUACUAAUAUAAUUUGGUAUUGUAUUGCUUUACAUCAGGACAUGGAAUAAAGUUUCUUAGUAAUUUGGUUAUUCAACUUAGGGAAGUCUGUAACCAUUAUUUAUGUCUCAAUACAUUAUUUUAUUUUUCUCCAAGCUGUUAUGGUUAUUUGUGUUUGCCAAUUGCUUUUAGGUUUUGAUCUUCAGUCAGUGGACCAAAGUGUUAGACAUACUGGAUUACUAUUUUAGUGAGAAAGACUUUGAAGUUUGUGAAAUUGAUGGUAGUGUUAGACAUACUGCAUUAGCAUGAGCCGUUAAUUUAGAUUUAUUUGUUGCUCUUGUUAUAAGUUUUAUAUACUUCUUUAGAUUUUUAAUCCAAGUUGUACAAUUUAUUAAUAUUAAUUUAUAGCAUGGUUGUCUGCAAAUUUUAUUCCAAGUAAUCAUGCAACAUGGCUGGCACAUUUUACGACAUCAUCUUUGACUAAAACUCAGCUGUUAUAAACCAUGCUUAUCUUUCAUUUGAAUCCAUGUACAUUAUACGCUGAAUUUUCUUUCUUUCUUCUUGUAUUAUUAUUACUAUUUUGUUAAUUUAUUUUUUAACUUUUUCAGUUUGUUACUUAAUCAGGGAAAUCAAGGUUACAAAGACAAGCAGUGGCAGAAAGUCAUUGGAUUUUAUUCGGAAGCCAUAAAACUAAGCAGCAACAAUGCAACAUACGACAGUGAUAGGUCCCAAGUUUAUCUAGAGCUUGGAAGUUACCUCCAAGCUGAGGCGUAGUGUACAAAAGCAAUUAACCUUGACAAAAAGAAUGUCAAAGUGUAUUUUAGAAGAGGUAGAGCUAGAGAGAUGCUUGACUACUAUACCGAUGCAAUUGAUGGUAAGAUCUUUCAUUCAGUUCAGACUUGUGUGCGACAAGUAUCUGCACAGGCUACUAUAUUUCUUUUUUUACAUCUUUGUUCGAUUGUUGCUCUUAUUUUCAUAUGAAAGUUUCAGAAUUUCCAAAUCAUAGGUGAACUAUUUUUCUUUGCACAAUACAACUUGGAAGAUUAGAAGUUGCAAAGGUUUGUUCUUGUAAUGCCUGCAAAGAGAUAUUAGUUGGCUUGUAAAAGUUGUUAACUUGGUUAUCAAAUUUCUAUAUUUGUGUUUCACUUGCUAUUUUAUGCCAUGAAUAAUUUUUGCCCUAUUUCGCUGCAGAGUAUUGCAAUAGAAAUGCAGAGUGAGUCUAGAUGGAAGUAGAUGAGAGAAUUAGCUAUGUUUAAUGGAAGGGUACUUUUCUAUGUUAUUUGAAACUUAAAUUGUAUUUCUCCAACACCUAAGCUUGUGGAGGUUUACUUAUUUUUUAAUAAAUUGUAUUUCUCAAACGGGAGAAAUUAUUAUUUUAAUAUGACAGUGAAGAUUGAGGAGGUUAUAAACAUCUGCUAUUUUUAAAAAAAAA
This is a non-coding RNA of Arachis ipaensis, 3974 nucleotides long. Lineage: Eukaryota; Viridiplantae; Streptophyta; Magnoliopsida; Fabales; Fabaceae. The record is from RefSeq and is a predicted model, not a curated record.